GACGAACCGUGCGAACGUUAUUCGGAAUCAUUGGGCUUAAAGGGCGCGUAGGCGGCGGUGUAAGUUGGAAGUGAAAUCCCAUCGGCUCAACCGUGGAAUUGCUCCCAGUACUGCAUCGCUCGAGGGGGAUAGGGGUUUGCGGAACUACCGGUGGAGCGGUGAAAUGUGUUGAUAUCGGUGGGAACGCCAGUGGCGAAAGCGGCAAACGUGACCCUUCCUGACGCUGAGGCGCGAAAGCUAGGGGAGCAAACGGG
Molecule: ribosomal RNA, 254 nt
Filed under: uncultured bacterium
Lineage: Bacteria
Description: partial 16S ribosomal RNA
Rfam family: Bacterial small subunit ribosomal RNA
Source: RNAcentral